Molecule: non-coding RNA, 312 nt
Organism: Nicotiana attenuata
Lineage: Eukaryota; Viridiplantae; Streptophyta; Magnoliopsida; Solanales; Solanaceae
Rfam family: Plant signal recognition particle RNA
Source: Rfam
GCCGAGCUCAGUAACGUGGGCUUGUAACUCAAGUGGGGGCAUCAAUGUGGUGGAAUGUUGGGCUCUUCCAGAAGGUUGGUCUUGGUGGUCUCUAUGCUGGCCUGCCCUAUCCAAGCACAGAGCUGGGUCACGUGGCCCAAACGAAGGUAACGAAGGUAUGGGCCACUUGACUCCUAAAGUGGGGUGGACUGCGUGAGGCUGGUUUCACAGAGCAACGAAUAGCUCCCGCUUUGUGCAGUGGAAGGAUAAUGGGCCGGUGCUUUCCAAGUCCAGCAACGCCUGAUGGGUUGCUCCAAUUAAACCUCCAUUUUU